Molecule: long non-coding RNA, 2345 nt
Filed under: Homo sapiens (human)
Lineage: Eukaryota; Metazoa; Chordata; Mammalia; Primates; Hominidae
Description: non-protein coding lnc-SSTR4-12:2
Source: RNAcentral
GCAAGAUGAAAUGAGUUCUGGAGAUGGGUUGUACAACAAUGUGAAUGUGUGUAACACUACUGAACUGAACACUUAAAAACGGUCAUGAUGAUGAAUUUUGUUAUGUGUAUUUUGCCACAAUUUAAUUCAAAAAAUAUAAAUACACACAAAAUGUCUGCACAGAAACCCUGUUUUUGAAGGAAAUGCCCUGUAUUGUCAGUGAGUCAGACGUGGGCUGUGCUCCCAAACCUGGGUGGAUUGUGCCCUCUGUGGCCCAUCACUGCAGAGGGUGUCAGUGUGAGGAGGAAAAAAAGGGGAGUGGACAGGCUCUGGGCCACAGGCCCACUGCCCACUGUGGGACAGAGAGUGCUUCCCUGCUCUCAGGAGAAGAGAAAGCAUGUUGCUCAUGCACAUAACACAUUCACCUUAUAGGGGGCCACUGGACUUCUAGCUUCCCAGACCUGGUUCAUCUAAGGGAAAGCCAUUUGUAGGGGCAGAAAUGUUCCUAACUUCCUGUUCAGGGUCUCUUAAUUCUAUGGACAUGAAUGACGGCAAGGGCCAUUAUGCAUUGAUUCUGAUGUGCAGAGUUCCAGUCUGAGCAGGACUAUGCCUGUUGUACAGACUGGAAAGCUGUGACUUCAAGGGGUUAAGAAACCAGCCAGAGGCCGCACAACCAGCAAGCCGCAGAGGUGGACGGAGCCAGGCCGUUGGGUUCUGUUUGGGUUGUUUCUUGCUAUUUAACAGACUGCCCUAAAUCUCAGUGACUUAACACCCAUUUUGUCACCUCUCUGGGUUGGGUAGGGUGGGGGCUCAGCUGGACACUUCUCCCGCUGUUUUUCUUGGGGUCUUUCCUGUAGUUUUAGCUCGAUGGUGGAGGGGCCGGGGGUCAUCUGGAGGUUAGACCAGGUGGAGGGGCCUCUCUUAUUGUCUCCACAUGUCCUGUCUUGUGGCCUCUCCAGAAGGGUGGCUCAGGGUUCCCAGGAAUGAGUGAUCCAGUGAGAAGCAGCAGCAGCUGUGGCCUCUCGCGGGCAGGCGGGAAACCGACACCGUUCACUGGUAGGUAUUCUGCUGGUUAGGCGUGAGUCAGCGCCUGGCCCAGAUUCCACCCUGGAGGGGCUGCACCAGGGCGUGAACUCUCGGGGCGUGGCUCCCCAACCCUCUUUAGAAACAUUACCUUGAACACCAUAGCUCAGAGCAGUAAUCACCAGUCCACUGAGGCAGCAGAGGGGCCUACGGCUGGGACUGUGGGAACAGGGAAGCUGCACCCAGGGCUUCACCCACAGGCACCAUCGCUUACUCUGCCUGGCUCGCGGGUCGGUGAAGGGAGUGGCUGCCCUUCUGCUCAGCUCGGUCUUUGUCCCAUUAUUUUCUCCAUUUGUUCUGCUGAAGAGACAGCCAGGAGGCAGUGAAGUGGCCCCUCCAAGGUCAAGGCAGCAUGCAAACCCCACCUGCCCGCUGAGCCUGACAUUUAUUUUAUCACAAUGGGUUUCAAGCAGGAAGAUUGCCCUGUCCUGAGGACAGGACAGCCAGCUUCAUGGGCACUUGACAUGAAAACCUCCAGUGGCCUCAGUACCCAGGUGGGGGUGGGAGCACUGCAACCCUCAGGGCAAAACCAAGGAACAUGAAGGUGUUGGGGAUGCACCUGGGCCUCAGCCUGGCAAAGAGCCCAAGAAACACCCAGGUAGACUUUGGGAGUGGGAAAGACUCCACCCACGGUCUCCGAGAGAAGGAGGCUAAUGGGGCAGGGGGUGAAGACAGGAUAAAUGAAGGAACGCAAGAAGCCUAAGGGGGAAGGUGGUUUGAGGGCUGAAGCCCAGGUUGAGACUAGAAGGCCAGGCAGAAGCAUUCAGAUCCCAGGUCCUGUAAAUUCUUUCCCACUGGGGAAAGAAUUUGUCCUACAGGAAGGCUGAGGAAAGGCUCUGCUGAGUCUAUCUUCGCUUUGUUUUUUGCAAGAAAAGUUUUCCUUUUGUGAAAACUUAUCAUACAGAUUGGGCCAUUCUUGUCACACCCAACUAAAACACAGUCAAGAAUCCAGUGGGGAUAGCACCCAGAGCACAAUACAUUGCUCCAAAAAUGUAAUUAUCUGUAGGCCUAGCAGCUGAAACUGCCUGCAGUAGCCUGAAACCAGUUUUAUCUAAGACUCCUGAAAUGACCUGCUGCAACUCUCAGACUAGCUUUGCCCAUGGCUGUCACUUCCCAAUCAGAGCUUGCCAGCUACUCAGAACCUUACUAGUGCUGGUGAAAUUUCUCAAAGAGCAAUGCAUAACAUUUCUUCUUUCUAUAAAACCUCUGACCUUCUAUUUGUUCUUCAGAGAGAGCACUUUUGAUUCACGCUGGAAACUCUCUCCAUCAGUUUGGUUUGCAAA